AAGUCGUAACACGAUUUCCGUAGGUGAUCAUUAACACGUAUCUAAACGUUAAAACCCCCCCCUUGAACCUUCAUCCUGCUCUUGUAACCCGCGUAGUUCGCAAUCUCUGAUAAAUCAUAGCCCUGAAAGUUGUAGUGAUUCAGAGACCUAUGGCUACGUGCGAACAUUGGAACAGUUACAAUCGAGACGUAGUUCUAUAGGCAAUGUUUCCCCAAGCAGUCAGUGUCGGAAAGUGUCAUUGAUUGUGCAAGGAUAGCGCUUCUACGAUUCGUGCAGACCAUACACUCGGGCAGGAGCUUUGCCAAAGGGUCCCCAUGCCCCCUAAUAACCCACAGUUUAAUGUGAAGCUCAAUGUAAUACACAAUAGAUAUCUUGGUUCUC
This 381-nucleotide unclassified non-coding RNA is filed under the name fungal sp. Its description in RNAcentral is "partial internal transcribed spacer region". The record is from RNAcentral. Lineage: Eukaryota; Fungi.